This 497-nucleotide ribosomal RNA is filed under the name uncultured bacterium. RNAcentral describes it as "partial 16S ribosomal RNA". It matches the Rfam family "Bacterial small subunit ribosomal RNA", at positions 28 to 507 of the family's 1533-position model. The record is from RNAcentral.
GACGAACGCUGGCGGCGUGCCUAAUACAUGCGAGUUGAGCGCUGAAGGUUGGUACUUGUACCAACUGGAUGAGCAGCGAACGGGUGAGUAACGCGUGGGGAAUCUGCCUUUGAGCGGGGGACAACAUUUGGAAACGAAUGCUAAUACCGCAUAAAAACUUUAAACACAAGUUUUAAGUUUGAAAGAUGCAAUUGCAUCACUCAAAGAUGAUCCCGCGUUGUAUUAGCUAGUUGGUGAGGUAAAGGCUCACCAAGGCGAUGAUACAUAGCCGACCUGAGAGGGUGAUCGGCCACAUUGGGACUGAGACACGGCCCAAACUCCUACGAGAGGCAGCAGUAGGGAAUCUUCGGCAAUGGACGAAAGUCUGACCGAGCAACGCCGCGUGAGUGAAGAAGGUUUUCGGAUCGUAAAACUCUGUUGGUAGAGAAGAACGUUGGUGAGAGUGGAAAGCUCAUCAAGUGACGGUAACUACACAGAAAGGGACGGCUAACUACGUG